GGGUCAGUAGGUUGGUCGUGCCACCGGUACGUACUGGUCUCACUGAUUCCUCCUUCCCGAAGAACCGUAAUGCCAUUAAUUUGGUGUUGCGGGGAAACAGGACUGUUACUUUGAAAAAAUUAGAGUGUUUAAAGCAAGCUAACGCUUGAAUACAUUAGCAUGGAAUAAUGUAAUAGGACGAUCGAUCCUAUUUUGUUGGUUUCUAGGAUUGACGUA
RNAcentral lists this ribosomal RNA (216 nucleotides) under Glomeromycotina sp. Its description in RNAcentral is "partial small subunit ribosomal RNA". The stretch from base 75 to 216 matches the Rfam family "Eukaryotic small subunit ribosomal RNA", at positions 721 to 864 of the family's 1831-position model. The record is from RNAcentral. Lineage: Eukaryota; Fungi; Glomeromycota.